Molecule: ribosomal RNA, 1499 nt
Filed under: uncultured bacterium
Lineage: Bacteria
Description: bacterial SSU rRNA
Rfam family: Bacterial small subunit ribosomal RNA
Source: RNAcentral
UGGUUUGAUUAUGGCUCAGGAUGAACGCUGGCGGCAUGCCUAAUACAUGCAAGUCGAACGGAGUGAAGCCUUCGGGUUUCAUUCAGUGGCGAACGGGUGAGUAAUACGCAGGGAACCUGGCCAUGGCAGGGGGAUACACUCUGGAAACGGAGCAUAAGACCCCAUAGGCAGUAAGGCGGCAUCGCCUUACUGUUAAAGAAAGCUGAAAGGCUUUGGCGAUGGAUGGACCUGCGGUGCAUUAGCUUGUUGGUGAGGCAACGGCUUACCAAGGCGAUGAUGCAUAGCCGGCCUGAGAGGGCGGACGGCCACACUGGGACUGAGACACGGCCCAGACUCCUGCGGGAGGCAGCAGUAGGGAAUUUUCGUCAAUGGGCGCAAGCCUGAACGAGCAAUGCCGCGUGAGUGAGGAAGGUCUUCGGACUGUAAAGCUCUGUUGCCGGGGAAAAAGGGGAAAUGCAGGAAAUGGCAUUUCAUGGAUGGUACCCGGCCAGAAAGCCACGGCUAACUACGUGCCAGCAGCCGCGGUAAUACGUAGGUGGCGAGCGUUAUCCGGAAUGAUUGGGCGUAAAGGGUGCGCAGGCGGUCUGUUAAGUCUGAAGGCAAAGGGAUGAGCUCAACUCAUUUAUGAUUCAGAAACUGGCAGACUUGAGGACAGGAGAGGGCGGUGGAACUCCAUGUGUAGCGGUAAAAUGCGCAGAGAUAUGGAAGAACACCAGUGGCGAAGGCGGCCGCCUGGCCUGUGACUGACGCUGAGGCACGAAAGCGUGGGGAGCAAAUAGGAUUAGAUACCCUAGUAGUCCACGCCGUAAACGAUGAGGAGCAGGUGUUGGGAGUGAAAUCUCAGUGCCGAAGCCAACGCAGUGACUCCUCCGCCUGGGGAGUAUGCACGCAAGUGUGAAACUCAAAGGAAUUGACGGGGGCCCGCGCAAGCGGUGGAGUAUGUGGUUUAAUUCGAAGCAACGCGAAGAACCUUACCAGGUUUUGACAUCGGAUGCGAAGGCGCAGAGAUGCGCUGGAGGCUAUCAUCCAGACAGGUGGUGCAUGGUUGUCGUCAGCUCGUGUCGUGAGAUGUUCAGUUAAGUCUGGCAACGAGCGCAACCCCCGUGGUAUGUUACUAACGCAUUUGGGCGAGGACUCAUAUCAGACUGCCGGUGACAAACCGGAGGAAGGCGGGGAUGACGUCAAAUCAUCAUGCCCCUUAUGACCUGGGCUACACACGUACUACAAUGGCGUCUACAGAGGGAAGCGACCCUGAGAAGGGAAGCGAAACCGGAAAAGGGCGUCCCAGUUCGGAUUGAAGUCUGCAACCCGACUUCAUGAAGAUGGAAUCGCUAGUAAUCGCGGAUCAGCAUGCCGCGGUGAAUACGUUCCCGGGCCUUGUACACACCGCCCGUCAAACCAUGGAAGCCGGCAACGCCCGAAGCCGGUGGCAUAACCUUUUAGGAGUGAGCCGUCGAAGGCGGGGCCGAUGACUGGGGUUAAGUCGUAACAAGGUAUCC